Long non-coding RNA from Leptidea sinapis, 1724 nucleotides. RefSeq lists it as uncharacterized. NCBI's taxonomy places the organism in Eukaryota, Metazoa, Arthropoda, Insecta, Lepidoptera, Pieridae. The transcript is spliced from 3 exons. The record is from RefSeq and is a predicted model, not a curated record.
UGAUCACAAGAAAAAUGUAACAAAUCAGAGAUGCCUUCUACUUGAUAGUAGGAAUUAUUGUCAGUUCGGUUGAUAUAGUCCUGUAUCUUUAAUAGGAGUGGAUGAUUAUUAAUAGAAGUUAAUUUGAGAAAGAAUUUUGUUUGUAGAUAUUUGAAUCUAAGAGCUAGUGGGGGAAUAUUAUAUUCUACUUGUAAUGAUAUAAUAGGAGUUGACCUAAAAACGCCUGUUAUGAUCCUUAAGCAUUUAUUUUGUAUUUUUUCUAAUUUAUUCACUAAUGUAAUUACUCCACCAUAACAAAAGAAGGCAUACUCAAAAUGGCUAUGGACUAAUGACUUAUAUAGUGUUAGCAAGAUGCGUGGGUCUGCACCCCAAUAUGUACCAGCUAAUGAUUUCAGAAUAUUGCAGGCCUUUAAUGCUCGAUUUUCUAAUAUUUCAACAUAUUUGUGCCAUCUAAAAUUACUUAAAAACGUAACCCCUAAAAACUUUAUUGAAAUCUAUUGAAAUUUCCUGAGUACCAUAAUAUAUUUUUGCAUCUCUUAUUCUUAUAGAAUGCUUUGAAAAUAUUACUACUUUGCUUUUCUCAAUACUGACCUCAAGACUAAGAUAUUGAAAAUAAAGCUCCAAUAUUUUGAGUGCUACAUUAAGAUCUAACACAACAUUUGAUAAAUUAAGUACUGAACUAUACACUACUAGAACAUCAGCAAAUUGGAGGGACAUUUAAGGAUAGAAGAAUGGAUGAUAAUUGUUCUAAAUCAAAAUUAUUAAAUGCUCCUACAAUAUCCAAAAAACACACCAGCCAAUAUCUUAUUGUCAAUCUGGGCACUAUGGAUGUCAAGACAUAAAUGCUGUAUACUCUCACAUGCAGAACGACCACAUCGAAAUCCAAAUUGAUUAUUAGAUUACUGAUUACAGAUCGGAAUGUUGGAUGGAAUUGAAGAAGAUUCAGUUUCCGACACUACCAUGGAAAAUUUUGUGAUUGUAGGCAAGUGAUAGCUGCCCAAAGAGUCCCGAUGAACUUGCCAUUCACAGCACUGGAAUAAUGAAGAUGAUACUAUUGUUAGAUCUAGUCCAUUUGGUCUCCAAGAAUUAGUACCCACUGUAGUUGGUUGAUCAUUAUUUAAGAGCAUUAAGUCAUUAUCGUCCAUUACAUCCAUGAUGUCUCUACCUCCAGAAUUGGUUCUAUUACAACCCCAAAUGGUAUGGUGAGCAUUAAAAUCACCAGCAAUUAUUAGUGGUUUUGGAAUACUAUGUAACAGUCUAUUAAAUUUAGAUUUGUCAGUUAGGUACACUGUUGCCAGGACUAUAAAAGCUAACAAUGAGAUGUCUUUUUGUUUGUAUUUAAUUUUGAUUGCUACAUUUUGCAAGGAGUUAUCAGAAAAUGUUUCUAACUUUUGAAAAUAAAUGCCAUUUCUAACAAAAAUUGCUACACCAUUGUGAUCAUUAACACAAUCAUUUCUUAGUAUUGUAUAACCUCUGAGAGAAAACUGUUUAUUUGGUUUAAGCCAAGUUUCUGAUAUAAGUGCUAUGUGUAUGUCCUGCUCAUAAAGAAGGUUUUGAAGCUCAAGUCUGUUACUCAACAGACUUUGAGCAUUCCACUGUACUAUGUUAAGUUUGUGACAGUUGGAUUGGAUAAAAUUAAAUUAAUGAUGUCUUGUGUGUUCUCUGUCUUAUUGAGUGAUGGAAAGUUUGUUGGAUGUUUAAAUAAAUCUGAUAAUGGUGUUUUA